RNAcentral lists this ribosomal RNA (456 nucleotides) under Lactococcus lactis. RNAcentral's name for it is "bacterial SSU rRNA". It matches the Rfam family "Bacterial small subunit ribosomal RNA", at positions 28 to 470 of the family's 1533-position model. Lineage: Bacteria; Bacillati; Bacillota; Bacilli; Lactobacillales; Streptococcaceae. The record is from RNAcentral.
GACGAACGCGGCGGCGUGCCUAAUACAUGCAAGUUGAGCGCUGAAGGUUGGUACUUGUACCAACUGGAUGAGCAGCGAACGGGUGAGUAACGCGUGGGGAAUCUGCCUUUGAGCGGGGGACAACAUUUGGAAACGAAUGCUAAUACCGCAUAAAAACUUUAAACACAAGUUUUAAGUUUGAAAGAUGCAAUUGCAUCACUCAAAGAUGAUCCCGCGUUGUAUUAGCUAGUUGGUGAGGUAAAGGCUCACCAAGGCGAUGAUACAUAGCCGACCUGAGAGGGUGAUCGGCCACAUUGGGACUGAGACACGGCCCAAACUCCUACGGGAGGCAGCAGUAGGGAAUCUUCGGCAAUGGACGAAAGUCUGACCGAGCAACGCCGCGUGAGUGAAGAAGGUUUUCGGAUCGUAAAACUCUGUUGGUAGAGAAGAACGUUGGUGAGAGUGGAAAGCUCAUUC